RNAcentral lists this small nucleolar RNA (102 nucleotides) under Dasypus novemcinctus (nine-banded armadillo). RNAcentral describes it as "Small nucleolar RNA SNORA32 (ENSDNOG00000027960.1)". Lineage: Eukaryota; Metazoa; Chordata; Mammalia; Cingulata; Dasypodidae. The record is from RNAcentral.
AGGCCAUUAGUGCCUACUAUUUAAGAACUCUGACCAUAAAAAAAACUCCCCACUGGGCUUUCUUUUGCUACCUUGCUAGCAUUCAGCCUGUUGGGAACAUUC